This 75-nucleotide transfer RNA is filed under the name Inoviridae sp. Its description in RNAcentral is "tRNA-Thr". It matches the Rfam family "tRNA". From Rfam's summary of the family: Transfer RNA (tRNA) molecules are approximately 80 nucleotides in length. Their secondary structure includes four short double-helical elements and three loops (D, anti-codon, and T loops). Lineage: Floreoviria; Loebvirae; Hofneiviricota; Faserviricetes; Tubulavirales; Inoviridae. The record is from RNAcentral.
GGCGGGAUGGUGUAAAGGUAACAUACGGCUUUAGUAAUGCCGUGCUGCCGGUUCGAGUCCGUGCUCCUGCAUCCA